Long non-coding RNA from Ahaetulla prasina, 493 nucleotides. RefSeq lists it as uncharacterized. The transcript has 3 exons. NCBI's taxonomy places the organism in Eukaryota, Metazoa, Chordata, Lepidosauria, Squamata, Colubridae. The record is from RefSeq and is a predicted model, not a curated record.
UGCAGCCAGACGAUGCAUGAGCCUACCUGAUGGACUUCAAGGACUUCACAGAAUUGUUAAAGUAAGACUAUUAAACAACAACCAGCAUUUAAACAAUAUCAGAUCAGAUCUUCGGCCCUAACACUGAAGCUACAAAUUAACCACGAAAAGCACAUAAAAUACCCACAGCGACUGCUGGAGAACAACAUUCAGAAUGAAUAUGAACUCUCUCCAUUGCAAAUAUACAGUAGUUGGAAAUCAAAUAAAGAACCAAUGCAGUUAAAUAACCAUGUUUUCGAUCCAGAACAAUUAGGGUGCAGUUAACUUUACCAUUUUUCUCUAUGAUGUGGGUGGCAGUGAAUCUAUUCUUAUUGAGCCACGAGUCUUUUUCUAAGUGAGCUGUUACUAAUAGCCUUGAAAGAAGAUUAAAUGCAACAUGUUAAAUAUUACAAUUAUUGUGGAAAACAAAAUUAUUUGGUGAACAUAAUGGGGAGCAAAUCAAGCAUUUAACAUG